This is a long non-coding RNA of Mesocricetus auratus (golden hamster), 4297 nucleotides long. RefSeq lists it as uncharacterized. Lineage: Eukaryota; Metazoa; Chordata; Mammalia; Rodentia; Cricetidae. The record is from RefSeq and is a predicted model, not a curated record. The transcript has 4 exons.
UUGGAGGCUAUCCUGGAACCCGCUUGGUAGUCCAGGAUGGUCUUGAACUCACAGAGAUCCGCCUGCCUCUGCCUCCCGAGUGCUGGGAUUAAAGGCGUGCACCACCAACACCCGGCCUAGACAGGAUUUCUUACAGUUCACAAUAGCUAACUACUAGCUACACAGCUGGGGAUGACCUUGGACUUCUUACCUUCUGACUCCCAAGUGCUGGGAUUAUAGGGUGUGUACUAGUGUGUCAGACUUUUUUUUGUUUUUAAAUCAAGAAACUGCUUUCUGGCUUGUUCUCCUUAAGGAAUGGCUUCUUGUUUUUCUUGUAGUGAGUGGGAAAGACAAGAGGCUGAGGUAGAGUGAUUGCCUAGCAACUAGAAAAGAAAAAGAUGAGAUUCUGAAUCAUUGCAGUUGUGAAUUGGAAUCAUUCAUAUUUUUCUCUGCUGUUGUACGUAUUUUUUAGUUUGCUGCUGAUACAAGAUUGAUUGUAAAAUGAGUUGUGUUUACUUUCAGCUUGAUUUGGUUAAAUGCAGAGUGUGAAAUUUCAUUUUAUGGUCUGGAGAACUGGCUCAGAGGCUAAGUAAGAGCACUUCCUGCUCUUCCAGAGGACCCAGGUUCGAUCCCCAGCAUAUGUGUCAAGCGGCUCACAACCACUUGUAAUUCCAGCUGCAGGGGAUCUGCUCUUCUGCUCUCUGCAGGUAUCUGUUUGCACACGGCAUACAUACACAUAGAUAUACAUAAAUGAAAUUUUAGACAUACACCUCCAGAUAGCCACGCUGUAAUCGUCUUGUUUCUCUAGGUCUUCUUACCAAGGCACUACCUGGAGUCUAACUUCUCUAUGCUAGCACACGAAGCACACAGUAGAUGGAAAUUAUUUAUGCUGUCAAAGGACAGUAUUUUGGGUUUAGAAAAGACCAAGUUGCCUUUAGCUUCCAUAUCAAUACCCUCUGUGGAUAAAUACUAACUGUUCCUUCUGUAGUUAAAGAGCUUUGUGCCUCCCAGGAGGGAAGAAGAUGACUUGGAUAACUUGGAAGUGGGAAUGUCUUCCUUUUCUGCCUUUGUGGAUUGUGGAGAAAAGUGGGCAGAUGUAGGGUAAACACAUUCUGGAAUGACACGCCCCUACUGCUCUCGUCUGGCUGACGUUCUGUGGUUAUGGUGGGCGUUGAAUGGACUGAGGGACAGGUAAUGAUCAUACAGUAGAGGGCACUUGUCUCUUCCUCUUUUUCUCUGUGUUUGGGAAUCCCAUUAUUUUUUUAUAAUGUUGGGGAUGGAACCCAGGGCUUUACAUACGCCAGGCAAGUGUAUGGUAGAAGGAGGCGGCUGCCUGGGGAACCUGGGGAAUAAGGGACUCUGAAACGCUGUGAAAUGCUGUCUUCCCACAGCGAGGUAGAUGGGGAGGAGGUUAGUGACUGAGUGAAGGGUAGGCAUCGUGACAGAGGACUGUGUGAUAGGGACUCUUAAAGUCAGGACCAUGGGCACCAGGGAUGGGAGUACAAUGACAUCCCCAAAGAUGAGAUGGCUACUCCUUGCAGCAGAGAACGGUGAGGAUACAGAAAAAUACCAGCGUCUGAGGCGUUUGCUACACUUCAUCCAGGGUGUCCCUCUCAGAAGACCUUGGAGAAACACCUCUUCAGAGCAGCUACUCAGAGCAGUCCUGGCCGUUAGUAAGAUGGCGGAAGUCUGUCUUGGCUAAGGACUGGCCUUGACUGGAGACAAGGGGAAAUCGCUUCAGGCCUUAUGAUGAAAAGAGUCCUCAGGAAAGCAGCAGCAGUGACUGAAAGGCUAGAACUAUAGAGGCAUUUCGAAAUCAGGGCUUGGGCAUUACUGGUAAUGGCUGAUGGGUUUACACGAGGGUUGGAGGCCUGGAUUGAAAUGAGAUGCACAGACUGAUAAUUAGGAGGUUUGGGAAAGGGUCAUGUGGCUGAGCUCUGAGCCUGAAAACCUUUGUUCCAUGUGAUUGCUACAGCAGAGGACAGGAUGAAAACGUUUGGUCCAUGUGAUCGCCACAGCAGAGGAUGCUCUUAACCAGACAGGAUGAAAACGUUUGGUCCAUGUGAUCGCCACAGCAGAGGAUGCUCUUAACCAGACAGGAUGAAAACCUUUGGUCCAUGUGAUUGCCACAGCAGAGGAUGUUCUUAAUCAAGACAGGAUGACCUAUUCUGUGGACAGCAGUAAGCUGUUCUCUAUUUCCAGACUCUUGAUGCUUUUUCGGAAGGUCCAGACUGCUUGAUGCCUGUUUGGAGGGCUCAAGAACAGAAAGACAUUGAACAGGUAGAGGAUGGUGCCUGAAAUUUCUACAGCACAGACUUCUCCAGUAGUAAUUCUAUCAGUAGUAAUUUAUCCUGGGCUCCCCAGAUGGUGAAACCCCCAGGACCAGCCAGCUACCUGCCAUCAGGUUUUUAUUUUUUUGUCUUGUCAUAGAGACUCCUUCCUAUUGGACUGCCCAUUUACUCCCUGCAUUUGGAUUUGCUCUUUGCUGCUUGGAGUGUCAUUUCUGACGUCUAGAUAUCUUUAUGCUGUGGAAUUCUUGUCUGCCUCUGACCUUCAUGGGCAGGACUCAGAGUAGCCAGCUAAUGCCUGUGAUCACGACUGCACUUCAUGUAUUCUGCCUUUGGAGGCAGCCCCUUUACAGGCCUAAAAAUUAUUAAAAACAGAUUCAGUUGGAGGAUUAGAAAGAAAAAAGCUGCUGAGGAUGAUGGCAAGUUUGUUUUGAGACAAGGUCUGUGGCCCAAGCUGUGUUGGAACUCACCGUGGAGCCAAGGAUGACUUUGAGCCACUGGUCCUCUUGGUUCCCCCUCCCAAAUGUUGGUGACACAGGCAUAGACCACUAUACUUAUCAUAAAAGUUUUCCUUAUGUGGGUCUUAUCUAUUAAUAUUUACAGCAUAAAGUAAUUAAAAUUGGGAUGAUUAGGGCUACACAGAGAAAUCCCAAAACAAACAAAACAUUAAAACUGAAAUAUUGUAUAAUAAUUAUUGUAUUAUACUAAUUUAUUUAAUUAAUUAAUAUAUUUUUCACUAUGGAGUUACAUGCACUACUGUGUAACAAGGUCCUCUGAUGCUUACUGUGUAGUCCAGGCUGGCCUUGAACUUGAAACAAUCCUCCUGCCUGCAGCCUCUUGAGUGCUGGGAUUAUAGGUAUGAGUCCCCACCCACCCGCUCCAGCUCACCCCAGACUGGAGCUAGCAGUUGUGUUUUAGAUUCUAUAUAUAGUUAUUUGAUACCAGGUUUCAUACAGUUCAAGGUUAGUCUCAAACUCUCUAGCUGACAAUACCCUUGACCUCACCCUCUUCCUUCUGACUCCCCAUAUCCCAGGACUGGACUCAAAGGCCUGUGCCACCAUGGGCUUGGGGCAAGCAGUUCUUUAAAGAGGGAGGGAACUCUGUGAUCCAGUCAAUUUAUCAAUAGGUGCCAAUCAAUAAUGUACACUCAAAAUAGAGAAUGAAACUGCUGCCACUAUAGAUCCAGCCGGUAACACCUUCACCGUUUCUGCUUCGUUCCAAAAUGGGAUCGGAACCAAGUCUGUAGCUCGCUGUCUGCGCUCCUAAAACCAAGAGAACGUCUUUCAUUCUGCCCUUGUCUUUUAUUUGGGUAUUCGGAUCACAUACCCCCAGAGAAGGCCACGCCCAUUGGGCCAAGCUGCCCCAAUACAAUUGGCUGUCCGAUGGAAUCCCCACAGCAGUCAUUCCUGCUUCAACCUUUGGAGGCCUGGGUUUAUAGGUAUGGUGCUGGCCUCACAGGUGGAUCUCUGUUGUUCAAGGCCAGCAUGGUCUAUAAAGUAAGUUCCAGGGCCUCUAGGACAUCUCCAUUGAUGAAUCUUCAAAGCUGUCAAUGGGACAAGAUCAGGGGAUGCAGCCCUUUCUCUCUGACCAAGAGACCAUUACUCAAUUUGCAGAAAUUCUUUGUAUCUGUGGAAGGAAUUUUCAGGAUGAAUCAGUAUGAAGAGAAGUUGGAGUUUACCAAGAAGCAGUUUAAAUAAUUAUAUAUUUUGUGUGUGUGCACACGUGUGCCGUGGUGGUCAAAGGACAUUUGUGGGAGUCAGUGGAGAUCAAGUUCAGAUUGCUAGCUUCACUUGCUUAUCACCAUUUCACUGACGAUCAGAAGCAGCCUGAAUACAGAUGUGUGAGCAUGGGCAUUCAAGGAGACAGGCACCCUGGAAAAUGACAACAUACUCCCAAAUACGGCUUUGGACAUCCCAAGAGUCUGAGGUCCCUGUUUCCUUAGUUUUCACCGUCUGAAUAAUUGUGAAGCCUUGCAACUUUUGCUACUCUGGUGGGUUAGAAGUGCAUUAAAUAUGGUUUUAAUUUGUAAA